ACUCCUACGGGAGGCAGCAGUGGGGAAUAUUGCACAAUGGGCGAAAGCCUGAUGCAGCCAUGCCGCGUGUGUGAAGAAGGCCUCGGUUGUAAAGACACUUCUAGCGAGGAGGAAGGUUAGACGGUUAAGUAACCGUCAGCUGUGACGUUACUCGCAGAAGAAGACACCGGCUAACUCCGUGCCAGCAGCCGCGGUAAUACGGAGGUGCGAGCGUAAUCGGAAUUACUGGCGUAAGCGCAUGCAGGCGGCCAAGUCAGUCAGAUGUGAAAGCCCGGGCUUAACCUGGGAAUUGCAUUUGAAACUGCUUGGCUAGAGUCCUUGAGAGGGGGUAGGAAUUUCAGGUGUAGCGGUGAAAUGCGUAGAGAUCUGAAGGAAUACCAGUGGCGAAGGCGGCCCCCUGGCAAGAGACUGACGCUCAGAUGCGAAAGCGUGGGGAGCAAACAGGAUUAGAUACCCUGGUA
RNAcentral lists this ribosomal RNA (461 nucleotides) under uncultured bacterium. RNAcentral's name for it is "bacterial SSU rRNA". It matches the Rfam family "Bacterial small subunit ribosomal RNA", at positions 335 to 792 of the family's 1533-position model. The record is from RNAcentral.